Molecule: non-coding RNA, 72 nt
Organism: Trichobilharzia regenti
Lineage: Eukaryota; Metazoa; Platyhelminthes; Trematoda; Strigeidida; Schistosomatidae
Source: Rfam
GGCCUCGUGGUGUGGCGGUUAGCACUCUGGACUCUGAAUCCGGCGACCCCAGUUCGAGUCUCGGCGAGGCCU